GUGGUGUUGGAUUGUCCUUGUCGGUUGUCUCGGUGCCAGUCCACCGAACGGACAGCAGGCGAUCCGCGUCGGUCGCGCGAGGUGCGAUGGUUACCCGGAGGCCUACCUCUUCAAGGGAAGCAGGCCACUUGAUGUACGCCUUCAUCCUGCGCCUUCCCAAGGGCGCAGGAGGACAACGGAGCACCCACCGCGUUCCACCGAGCCUUUGCCAGUCGUGUGGCGCGCGGGGACGUGCUAUGCUCUCGGACCCAGCGAACACCGUGGGCGAGGACUCACGUCCCAACCCCAAGAGAAGCCUCGAUGUAACGUAUGACGGCCGCUCUCGCCCCGGCGGUGUGAGGGCGAGGCGCGGCGUCGCGGAGGAAUGCUACCUGGUUGAUCCUGCCAGUAGUCAUAUGCUUGUCUCAAAGAUUAAUCC
RNAcentral lists this unclassified non-coding RNA (418 nucleotides) under Acacia subrigida. RNAcentral's name for it is "partial contains external transcribed spacer and 18S ribosomal RNA". The stretch from base 369 to 418 matches the Rfam family "Eukaryotic small subunit ribosomal RNA", at positions 1 to 50 of the family's 1831-position model. Lineage: Eukaryota; Viridiplantae; Streptophyta; Magnoliopsida; Fabales; Fabaceae. The record is from RNAcentral.